RNAcentral lists this ribosomal RNA (497 nucleotides) under uncultured bacterium. RNAcentral describes it as "partial 16S ribosomal RNA". It matches the Rfam family "Bacterial small subunit ribosomal RNA", at positions 28 to 507 of the family's 1533-position model. The record is from RNAcentral.
GAUGAACGCUGGCGGCGUGCCUAAUACAUGCAAGUCGAGCGAACGGACGAGAAGCUUGCUUCUCUGAUGUUAUCGGCGGACGGGUGAGUAACACGUGGAUAACCUACCUAUAAGACUGGGAUAACUUCGGGAAACCGGAGCUAAUACCGGAUAAUAUUUUGAACCGCAUGGUUCAAAAGUGAAAGACGGUCUUGCUGUCACUUAUAGAUGGAUCCGCGCUGCAUUAGCUAGUUGGUAAGGUAACGGCUUACCAAGGCAACGAUGCAUAGCCGACCUGAGAGGGUGAUCGGCCACGCUGGAACUGAGACACGGUCCAGACUCCUACGGGAGGCAGCAGUAGGGAAUCUUCCGCAAUGGGCGAAAGCCUGACGGAGCAACGCCGCGUGAGUGAUGAAGGUCUUCGGAUCGUAAAACUCUGUUAUUAGGGAAGAACAUAUGUGUAAGUAACUGUGCACAUCUUGACGGUACCUAAUCAGAAAGCCACGGCUAACUACGUG